CAUAUUCAAUUGUCAGAGGUGAAAUUCUUGGAUUUAUGGAAGAUGAACUACUGCGAAAGCAUUUACCAAGGAUGUUUUCAUUAAUCAAGAACGAAAGUUAGGGGAUCGAAGAUGAUUAGAUACCAUCGUAGUCUUAACCAUAAACUAUGCCGACUAGGGAUUGGCGGUCGUUUUUCCGACUCCGUCAGCACCUUAUGAGAAAUCAAAGUCUUUGGGUUCCGGGGGGAGUAUGGUCGCAAGGCUGAAA
RNAcentral lists this ribosomal RNA (247 nucleotides) under Alexandrium tamarense. RNAcentral's name for it is "partial Eukaryotic small subunit ribosomal RNA". It matches the Rfam family "Eukaryotic small subunit ribosomal RNA", at positions 893 to 1142 of the family's 1831-position model. The record is from RNAcentral. Lineage: Eukaryota; Dinophyceae; Gonyaulacales; Pyrocystaceae.